Schistocerca gregaria is the source of this 377-nucleotide long non-coding RNA. RefSeq lists it as uncharacterized. The record is from RefSeq and is a predicted model, not a curated record. Lineage: Eukaryota; Metazoa; Arthropoda; Insecta; Orthoptera; Acrididae. The transcript has 3 exons.
GACCUACAAAAAAGCCAUCACUUCGCUCAUCAGAAAGGCCUGAAUAGAAUGUUGAGACAAUACCGCUGAUUUUACUCCCGAAAGCUGAGGAACAAAUACCUAGGUGGAGAAUAAAAUUACUUGCCAUCAGCUUUCCUGAAAUAUUAUUGCCUUAAGUAAUUCAGGUCUAUCUGGUUCGAUACCUGAUACUCUGUAUUUACUGACUGAAUUGGGAUACCUAAAUCUUAUUAACAACAAAUGAAAUUAUCAAUUUAACUAAGUUCAGAGAUUUAGAAAUGCAAGGGAAUGAAUUUGAGAGUGACAUUCCUAAUUUGUCAUCUAACAAAUUUGGUGUAUAUGAACAUUGGCUCAACGAAACAUACUUUGUAAAGUGUGGU